CGGACGGGUGAGUAACGCGUGAGUAACCUGCCUUACACAAGGGGAUAGCCGUUGGAAACGACGAAUAAUACCCUAUGACAUAAACUCUUCGCAUGAGGAGCUUAUCAAAGAUUUAUCGGUGUAAGAUGGACUCGCGUCUGAUUAACUAGUUGGUGAGGUAACGGCCCACCAAGGCGACGAUCAGUAGCCGGCUUGAUAGAGUGUACGGCCACAUUGGGACUGAGACACGGCCCAGACUCCUACGGGAGGCAGCAGGC
RNAcentral lists this ribosomal RNA (257 nucleotides) under uncultured Anaerococcus sp. RNAcentral's name for it is "partial 16S ribosomal RNA". It matches the Rfam family "Bacterial small subunit ribosomal RNA", at positions 99 to 354 of the family's 1533-position model. The record is from RNAcentral. Lineage: Bacteria; Bacillati; Bacillota; Tissierellia; Tissierellales; Peptoniphilaceae.